GGGCCCGCACAAGCGGUGGAGCAUGUGGUUUAAUUCGAUGCAACGCGAAGAACCUUACCUGGCCUUGACAUCCUGCGAACUUUCUAGAGAUAGAUUGGUGCCUUCGGGAACGCAGUGACAGGUGCUGCAUGGCUGUCGUCAGCUCGUGUCGUGAGAUGUUGGGUUAAGUCCCGCAACGAGCGCAACCCUUGUCCUUAGUUGCCAGCAUUUAGUUGGGCACUCUAAGGAGACUGCCGGUGACAAACCGGAGGAAGGUGGGGAUGACGUCAAGGUCAUCAUGGCCCUUAUGGCCAGGGCUACACACGUGCUACAAUGGCAGGUACAGAGGGCAGCGAAGCGGCGACGUGUAG
Molecule: ribosomal RNA, 350 nt
Filed under: uncultured bacterium
Lineage: Bacteria
Description: bacterial SSU rRNA
Rfam family: Bacterial small subunit ribosomal RNA
Source: RNAcentral